This 332-nucleotide unclassified non-coding RNA is filed under the name soil metagenome. RNAcentral's name for it is "partial contains 5.8S ribosomal RNA, internal transcribed spacer 2, and large subunit ribosomal RNA". The stretch from base 1 to 120 matches the Rfam family "5.8S ribosomal RNA", at positions 35 to 154 of the family's 154-position model. The record is from RNAcentral.
GAUGAAGAACGUAGCGAAAUGCGAUAAGUAGUGUGAAUUGCAGAAUUCAGUGAAUCAUCGAAUCUUUGAACGCACAUUGCGCCCUUUGGUAUUCCUUAGGGCAUGCCUGUUCGAGCGUCAUUUAAACCUUCAAGCUAAGCUUGGUGUUGGGUGACUGUCCGCUUCACGGCAGACUCGCCUCAAAAUUAUUGGCGGCCGGUACAUUGGCUUCGAGCGCAGCAGAAACGCGAACUCGGGCCCGUCGUAUUGGCUCCCAGAAGCUAUCUUCACAAUUUUGACCUCGGAUCAGGUAGGGAUACCCGCUGAACUUAAGCAUAUCAAUAAGCGGAGGA